AUACGGAGGAUCCGAGCGUUAUCCGGAUUUAUUGGGUUUAAAGGGAGCGUAGGCGGGAGCUUAAGUCAGCGGUUAAAUGGUGCGGCUCAACCGUGCCCUGCCGUUGAAACUGGGUUUCUUGAGAGUGCAAGAGGCGGAUGGAAUUCAUGGUGUAGCGGGGAAAUGCUUAGAUAUCAUGAAGAACUCCGAUUGCGAAGGCAGUCCGCUGGGGCACGUCUGACGCUGAUGCUCGAAGGUGCGGGAAUCAAACAGGAUUAGAUACCCUGGUAGUCCGCACGGUAAACGAUGAUUACCCGCUGUCGGCGGUAGACAGUCGGCGGCCAAGCGAAAGCGACAAGUAAUCCACCUGGGGUGUACGCCGGCAACGGUGAAACUUAAAGGAAUUGACGGGG
This 392-nucleotide ribosomal RNA is filed under the name uncultured bacterium. RNAcentral describes it as "partial 16S ribosomal RNA". It matches the Rfam family "Bacterial small subunit ribosomal RNA", at positions 523 to 918 of the family's 1533-position model. The record is from RNAcentral.